CGGACGGUAUCUGCGUCAAUAUUUCCUUGUUAGAAUAUAUUGCACAUUCACCGGCCUGA
RNAcentral lists this microRNA precursor (59 nucleotides) under Drosophila yakuba. Its description in RNAcentral is "Dya-Mir-92-P6b_pre stem-loop". It matches the Rfam family "mir-310 microRNA precursor family", at positions 9 to 67 of the family's 74-position model. The record is from RNAcentral. Lineage: Eukaryota; Metazoa; Arthropoda; Insecta; Diptera; Drosophilidae.